This is a long non-coding RNA of Ziziphus jujuba (common jujube), 2620 nucleotides long. RefSeq lists it as uncharacterized. The record is from RefSeq and is a predicted model, not a curated record. The transcript has 6 exons. Lineage: Eukaryota; Viridiplantae; Streptophyta; Magnoliopsida; Rosales; Rhamnaceae.
GGCAAUUAGACCGUUGGGAUCUUGUCGGGUAUCCGCCCCUAGUGAGACGGGCGCGCGGCGAUUGAUUCGGCAGCGGCUAUUUGGCAGUGCUAGUUGAAGUUCAGGAGGUUCAUAGGUAGACCCAGAUAGAAGCAUUCCAAAGGAGCUUGGUCAUUUGGAAAAUCUAGUUAGUUUGGAACUCCAACGUAAUUUAGUUAUUUGAAAAGCUAUCAACAAUAUCUCAACCCAAAUAGUUGCUGGCUUUGCAUUUGGGAGGAUUAGUAUUUGAAACAUGUCCGACUCAGUUCAAGAUAAUACGGGUUCUAAUUCAAGCCUAAACCGAGCCAUUGCAAAUACAGAUAAUGAGAAUAGUGGCUCUAAGAGAAAGUUGGCAUCUGGUAUUUGGAAUCAUUUCAAAAAACAAAAAAUUGAUGGGGUGAUGAAAGCAGUAUGUAACUAUUGUGAGAAGAGGCUAGGAGGGGAAAGUAGGAAUGGAACAAAACACUUGCAUGAACAUAUAAUAUUAUGUAAUACGAGAAACCAAGGAGACAAUGAGGUUUCUACUUUGAAUCCUAAUAGGAUAAGAAAUUCUUAUGUAAUUGAUCAAGAAAGUUCAAAGCACGCAUGUAUUAACUAAUAUAAUAGUAAUGCAUGAGUAUCCUUUAUCUAUUGUUGACCAUAUUGGAUUUAGAAGAUUUUCUCAUGCCCUUCUACCACUAUUUAAUGUGGUUCCUCGAAAGCGAAUAAAAAGUGAUAUCCUUAAAAAGUAUAAUAUUGGGAAGGAGAACAAUGAGAUAAUUGGAAAGAAAUUGCAGUAAAAUUGCCAUUACCACUGAUAUGUGGAAGUUGUGUCAAAGGAAAUUUAUGGCUGUAACUGCAAACUUCAUUGAUGAUUCAUGGAUUUUGAAGGAUUGAAUCAUCAGGUAUUUUAAAAAAAAAAAAAAAAAAUUACUUAUUAAAUUCCUCAUUAUCCAUGGCUAUUGCUUGAUAUUUAUUUUUUAUUAUUAUUAUUAUUAUUUUUCAUUUUUGUCGGUUUAUAUAUGUGCCAUGUCCAUAUAAUGUUGUCACGAUUGCAAAUUUGUUGAUGGAAUGCCUAUUGUAUUGGAAAAUUAAUGACAAGUUAUCUACUUUAACACUAGAUAAUUGUUCUAUUGAUAAUGCUAUUGUAGAUACACUCUUUGCACAGAAACUUGCAUCAUCCUCGCUUCUGUUGGGUGGUAGAUUACUUCACUUGUGUUGUGUGCAUACUUUUUGAAACUAAUGGUGAAAGAUGGCUUGAGUUUGAUAGGUGAAAGCAGUUUGAGCAUCCAUGAAAGUGUUGCUAUUUGGACAGCGACAUUCUAAAAACAAGAGAAGUUUGUAGACGCAACUCACUUGUUGAGUAUUCCAAGCACAAAGAAGUUGGUUCUUUAUUGUGCCACAAAUUGGAAUUCCACUUAUUUGAUGCUUUUUCGUGCUUUGAUGUACAAGGAUGCAUUCCCACAUUUGAGACAACAAGACUCUAAAUAUAAAUCUCUCCCAAGCGUAUAGGAUUGGGUUGUAUCUAAGAUUGUUUGUCAGUAGUCGAAGUUGUUUUACAAUGUUGAAGAGCUGUUUUCUGGAACUAUUCUUUUCUUUCCAAAGAUUUGCGAUAUUAAGUUGGCAAUUUCUCGAUCGUUAGAGUCUGAAAAUGAUGAUAUUCGGAUGAUGGCUAGUAAUAUGAAUGAGAAAUUUGAAAAGUAUUGGAAUGUGAUUUAUGGCAUAAUGGUUAUAACAACUGUGUUGGAUCCUAGAUACAAGAUGAAGUUUGAGUGACCAUUAGUGUCUUACUAUCUAUGGAGAUCGUGCUUCUGUUGAGAUCAAGAGGAUUUGCCAAAUAUUUUAUGAUUUGGUGAAAGAAUAUCAAUCAAAGUAUACACCGAGUGUGGAUAUAGGUUCUUCAACCAUGUCAUCUUCAAUGUCAAGUUUGUAUCUAGAUGAGGAUGAGGAUCCUUUAGAUAAAUUUGACUUGUUUGUUUCUAGUUCAACUAAAAUUGAACAUGUACGGGCAGAGUUGGAUUAUUAUAUGAAUGAAUCUCUCCUACCUCGGACUUCCGAAUUUGAUAUAUUGUUUUUGUGGAAACCGAAUAAGAUGUAAUAUCCUAUGUUGCAUAAGAUAGCCAGAGACUUUUGGCUAUAGUGACAUCUACAGUUGCUUCUAAAUCUGCUUUUAGUACUAGUGAGAGAGUUGUGUGUCCACAAUAUAGCAAACUUCAACCAGAGACAAUAAAGGCUUUAAUGUGCACUAGAGAUUGGUUAAAGAAAGAGAUCCAAGAUCCAAGCUCCACAACUAAUGCUGAUAGUUCUAGUUUUUAUGAUGAUGAUGAUGAUGAUAUUGACGUAGAUGAGGGGAUGCUUUUCAUGAACUUCCAUGGUUCCUGGAAACUUUGCCCUUGUGUUUUGAAGCUGAAACUUUACACUGCUGUGCUACCUCCACCAAUCAGGACCUGGGCCUUCGAUCAAAUUAUUUAUAUUGGCAAAUUUGAUUGAAACAUAGAAAUUUAUUGUACUUUAUUGGCAAAUUAUCUUAUAUUAUCUUCAACUAGUCAAAUUUUUAUUGGAAAUCAAUAUAUUCUUUUCUUCUUUCUUCUGCCAUCAGCCAUCAGCAGCAGUAGCAAUAAUA